GUGAGGAAUAUUGGACAAUGGAUGGAAAUCUGAUCCAGCCAUGCCGCGUGCAGGAAGACGGCCCUAUGGGUUGUAAACUGCUUUUGUAUGGGAGCAAUAAGGGUUACGAGUAGCCUGAUGAGAGUACCAUACGAAUAAGGACCGGCUAACUCCGUGCCAGCAGCCGCGGUAAUACGGAGGGUCCGAGCGUUAUCCGGAUUUAUUGGGUUUAAAGGGUGCAUAGGCGGUUUUAUAAGUCAGCGGUGAAAUUUUCCGGCUCAACCGGGGGACUGCCGUUGAUACUGUAAGGCUAGGAUAUGGUUGCUGUGGGUGGAAUGUGUGGUGUAGCGGUGAAAUGCUUAGAGAUCACACAGAAUAUCGAUUGCGAAGGCAGCUCACAAAGCCAUCAUUGACGCUGAGGCACGAAAGUGUGGGGAUCAAACAGGAUUAGAUACCCGGGUAGUCC
Molecule: ribosomal RNA, 445 nt
Filed under: uncultured bacterium
Lineage: Bacteria
Description: partial 16S ribosomal RNA
Rfam family: Bacterial small subunit ribosomal RNA
Source: RNAcentral